This 1244-nucleotide ribosomal RNA is filed under the name metagenome. RNAcentral's name for it is "bacterial LSU rRNA". It matches the Rfam family "Bacterial large subunit ribosomal RNA", at positions 1564 to 2815 of the family's 2925-position model. The record is from RNAcentral.
UGAGUACGAGAUGCUACGGCAUCGAAGCAGUCUAUGUCAUACUUCCAAGAAAAGCUUGCAAUGUCAUAAACAAAUAAUGCCUGUACCAUAACCGACACAGGUGGGUAGGUAGAGUAUACUAAGGGGCGCGAGAUAACUCUCUCUAAGGAACUCGGCAAAAUGACUCCGUAACUUCGGGAGAAGGAGUGCCUUAUUUUUAUAAGGUUGCAAUAACAAGAUCCAAGCAACUGUUUACCAAAAACACAGGUCUCCGCUAAGUCGUAAGACGAUGUAUGGGGGCUGACGCCUGCCCAGUGCCAGAAGGUUAAAGAAGUUGGUUAGCAUUAGCGAAGCUGAUAACUGAAGCCCUGGUGAACGGCGGCCGUAACAAUAACGGUCCUAAGGUAGCGAAAUUCCUUGUCGGGUAAGUUCCGACCCGCACGAAAGGCGUAAUGAUUUGGAUACUGUCUCGGAGAGGGGCUCGGUGAAAUAGACUUGUCUGUGAAGAUGCGGACUACCUGCACCUGGACAGAAAGACCCUAUGAAGCUUUACUGUAACUUGAGAUUGAAAUUGGACUUUAUCUGCGCAGUAUAGGUGGGAGACGUUGAAAAUAUUCUUGCGGGAAUAUUGGAGUCAUCAGUGAGAUACCACUCUUAUAAUGUUAGAUUUCUAACUUUGUAUCAUUAUCUGGUCAAAGAACAGUUUCAGGCGGGCAGUUUGACUGGGGCGGUCGCCUCCCAAACGGUAACGGAGGCGCACAAAGGUUUCCUCUGAACGUGUAGAAAUCGUAUCUAGAGUGUAAAGGCAUAAGGAAGCUUGACUGUGAGACCUACAAGUCGAGCAGGGACGAAAGUCGGUCUUAGUGAUCUGACGGUGCUGAGUGGAAAGGCCGUCACUCAACGGAUAAAAGUUACUCUAAGGAUAACAGGCUGAUCUCCCCCAAGAGUUCACAUCGACGGGGAGGUUUGGCACCUCGAUGUCGGCUCAUCGCAUCCUGGGGCGGUAGUACGUCCCAAGGGUUGGGCUGUUCGCCCAUGAAAGCGGUACGCGAGCUGGGUUCAGAACGUCGUGAGACAGUUCGGUCCAUAUCCGGUGUAGGCGUUAGAAUAUUGAGAGGAGCCUUCUUUAGUACGAGAGGACCGAGAAGGACAUACCUCUGGUGUACCAGUUAUCGUGCCAACGGUAAACGCUGGGUAGCCAUGUAUGGAGAGGAUAACCGCUGAAAGCAUCUAAGUGGGAAGCCCACCUCAAGAUAAGUAUUCGA